UACGGGGGGGGGCAAGCGUUGUUCGGAAUUACUGGGCGUAAAGGGCUCGUAGGUGGCCAACUAAGUCGGACGUGAAAAUCCCCUCAGCUUAACUGGGGAACUGCGUCCGAUACUGGAUGGCUCGAGUUUGGGAGAGGGAUGCGGAAUUCCUGGUGUAGAGGUGAAUUCGUAGAUAUCAGGAGGAACACCGGUGGCGAAGGCGGCUACCUGGACCGGUACUGACACUGAGACACGAAGCGUGGAGCAACAGG
Molecule: ribosomal RNA, 251 nt
Filed under: uncultured bacterium
Lineage: Bacteria
Description: partial 16S ribosomal RNA
Rfam family: Bacterial small subunit ribosomal RNA
Source: RNAcentral